GUCCCGUUCAUCUAGAGGCCUAGGAUCCCAGCCUUUCACGCUGGUUACAGGGGUUCGACUCCCCUACGGGACG
RNAcentral lists this transfer RNA (73 nucleotides) under endosymbiont of unidentified scaly snail isolate Monju. It matches the Rfam family "tRNA". Rfam says of the family: Transfer RNA (tRNA) molecules are approximately 80 nucleotides in length. Their secondary structure includes four short double-helical elements and three loops (D, anti-codon, and T loops). The record is from Rfam by way of RNAcentral. Lineage: Bacteria; Pseudomonadati; Pseudomonadota; Gammaproteobacteria.